This 468-nucleotide ribosomal RNA is filed under the name uncultured bacterium. Its description in RNAcentral is "partial 16S ribosomal RNA". It matches the Rfam family "Bacterial small subunit ribosomal RNA", at positions 28 to 507 of the family's 1533-position model. The record is from RNAcentral.
GACGAACGCUGGCGGCGUGCUUAACACAUGCAAGUCGAACGGCAAGGCCCUGCUUUUGUGGGGUGCUCGAGUGGCGAACGGGUGAGUAACACGUGAGUAACCUGCCCUUGACUUUGGGAUAACUUCAGGAAACUGGGGCUAAUACCGGAUAGGAGCUCCUGCUGCAUGGUGGGGGUUGGAAAGUUUCGGCGGUUGGGGAUGGACGCGCGGCUUAUCAGCUUGUUGGUGGGGUAGUGGCUUACCAAGGCUUUGACGGGUAGCCGGCCUGAGAGGGUGACCGGCCACAGUGGGACUGAGAUACGGCCCAGACUCCUACGGGAGGCAGCAGUGGGGAAUAUUGCACAAUGGGCGGAAGCCUGAUGCAGCAACGCCGCGUGCGGGAUGACGGCCUUCGGGUUGUAAACCGCUUUCGCCUGUGACGAAGCGUGAGUGACGGUAAUGGGUAAAGAAGCACCGGCUAACUACGUG